UAGGGAAUCUUCCGCAAUGGACGCAAGUCUGACGGAGCAACGCCGCGUGAGUGAAGAAGGAUUUCGGUUCGUAAAACUCUGUUGUUAGAGAAGAACAGCGCAUAGAGUAACUGUUAUGCGUGUGACGGUAUCUAACCAGAAAGCCACGGCUAACUACGUGCCAGCAGCCGCGGUAAUACGUAAGGUCCGAGCGUUGUCCGGAAUCAUUGGGCGUAAAGGGUACGUAGGCGGGUAAGCAAGUUAGAAGUGAAAUCCUGUAGCUCAACUACAGUAAGCAUGUAAAACUUCUCAUCUUGAGAUAUGGAAGGGGAAGAGGAAUUCCUAGUGUAGCGGUGAAAUGCGCAGAUAUUAGGAGGAAUACCGGUGGCGAAGGCGACUUUCUGGCCAUAAUCUGACGCUGAGGUACGAAGGCGUGGGUAGCAAACAGG
This 428-nucleotide ribosomal RNA is filed under the name Bacteroidota bacterium. Its description in RNAcentral is "Bacteroidetes bacterium partial 16S ribosomal RNA". It matches the Rfam family "Bacterial small subunit ribosomal RNA", at positions 355 to 776 of the family's 1533-position model. Lineage: Bacteria; Pseudomonadati; Bacteroidota. The record is from RNAcentral.